Molecule: long non-coding RNA, 2036 nt
Filed under: Ornithorhynchus anatinus (platypus)
Lineage: Eukaryota; Metazoa; Chordata; Mammalia; Monotremata; Ornithorhynchidae
Description: lncRNA (ENSOANG00000047560.1)
Source: RNAcentral
UCAUUCCCUUCCUUCAGUUCAUCUGUAAGAUUUAUUUUUAGUUGGGUUUUUUUUGUGUUUUGUUUUUUUUUUAGAAACGAGGCAGCACAGAUCCUUUUCCUGGUUGACUCUGCUGCUUGAUUUGGGUGACACCAGUUUCUCCUCCUUGCUGAAAGAUGACUCCAGUUCCACCCUGAGCAGGAAGGAUAAACCCCUGUAUCCACACGCUUCCAAGCUUCAGAAAAGGUUUGAUGUUCAAAGGCAAGGACUAGUUUGGAUGGUGAAAGGGGGUACUGACCUGAAAAAGAGGACAAAUUCUUCACUUGUUGCGCUGGAGCCCCAUAGUGAUUAGAAAUGAUGAUGGACCGUGGGGAAGAUAAAGAAAUUCUUGGAAACAUUAAGAACUAAGCAACAAGCUGGGGGGAAUGAAACUGAGAGACUGACUGAGAAGGCAAAAGUCAAGGACCAACUCUUCAAUCUGAAUGGGAAGCAGCAUUACCUAGUGGAUAGAGUAUGGGCCUGGAAGUCAGAAGGAUCUAGAUUCUAAUCCAGCUCUGCCACUUGUCUACGGAGUGACCUUGGGUAAGUCACUUCACUUCUCUGUGCCUCAGUUAUCUCACCUGUAAAAUGGGGAUUAAGACCAUGAGCCCCAUGUGGGACAUGGACUGUGCCCAACCUGAUUAGCUUGUGUCUAGUCUAACCCAGCACUUAGUACAGAGCCUGGCACACAGUAAGCUCUUAACAAAUACCAUAAAACAAUGCACGGAAAGUUUAACUAUUCUAAGCAGAUUUAGACAAAUGUCUUGGUAAAGUAUGUCAGGCUAGUGAUAACUUAAAAGGGAGUUUCUUCAGCUUUUUUCUAGUAAAUUUAUCAUGGCCAAAGGAAUGUUCCUUUGCAUUUAUCUAACAUACCACCACCAAACAUACCCCCACAGUAGUAACUAAUGGCAGGAAAUGUGGUUUGACCCAUUACGAGUCUCCUGGGGUAAACCAUUCAAAUGAAUUCUUUUCUAGAAUUUGGUCUUCCCUGUUGGCAGUAACAAACCAAGGAUCCAUAUGAAGGUUUUGGGCUCAUUUCUUCCAAACAUCAAAUUGGAUUAAGCUUGAAAAGGCAGCCGCAUUCUCUUGAAUAUACAGCCUAUCCAGACUAAUCAAAAUAGCUUACAUGGCAGAUCGAACUGAAAGCAGUUAUUUCCCAAAUGAGGCCUUUUACAGAAGAGCAAAACUCUGAGUGUGUAGCCAUCUGCCUGCCUUAUGACACAAACACAUUGAUUUUAAGAGUACUUAGAAAAGUUCAUAGUUUUCUAAGUACAUAGUUCAUGUCCAUUUAUCUGUAGUGGUAUCUGUCCUCUGAUUGUGUUUACCCAUUUAGACAUGGUCCCAGCCAGGUUCUGAGGCAUCAGUUGAGGGACCAGGAGCCAAGUUUAACUCCACCCUCCUUCACCUUCAAAGAGCAUUCAGUGAUUUUAAAUACAUUUCAAAAGAUGUGAAAAACAGUUGGAAUUUGGGACAGAUUUUUACCAAAUUGUGCAGCUAAACUCAGCUUUGCUGCUCUCCUUUCCCUAAAAUGAUUGAGGCAAUCAGUUUUCAUGAACAAAGAAAUGGAAAUGCGGACCAUCUAAAUUCACACAGUAUGUUCUGUAUGUAUCAUUCCUCUAUUCUAAAUGUCUGAUCAUCAGCCUGAAUAUUUUAUGUUACUAUAUAUACUAAAAUAGGGCCAUUUCUGUGGAAGGAAACAUUUCAAAUAACUAUGGCCGAGUGCAUUAUACUGGUCUGGAAUGUAAUAAAAAAUAAUGAGCAUCAAGUUUUGUAUCUGUCAUUUCUUAAGUAAUAAUUUGCCUCUCUAAAUUUGCUUAAAGGGUUCAGAGUUCAUUAGCCAUAUCAGAACAGCCAAUUUAAUUGAGUAAAACAUGUACUUAACAGAAGUUAAAAACCAUGAUAGCGGCCAUGCAGUGUGUUUUUUAUAUUGUCAAAUCCCAUUUUUUAAAGACCAUCUUCACUCUGGACAUUCCCUCUCUAAAGAAAGCAGUUUCUAGGGUCCAUGCCCUUGUUUCUCU